GCGGUAAUACAGAGGUCUCAAGCGUUGUUCGGAAUCACUGGGCGUAAAGGGUACGUAGGCGGCGUCAUAAGUCGUGCGUGAAAGGCAGGGGCUCAACCUCUGGAGUGCGCGUGAUACUGUGAUGCUGGAGUAAUGGAGGGGGAACCGGAAUUCUUGGUGUAGCAGUGAAAUGCGUAGAUAUCAAGAAGAAGACUCGUGGCGAAGGCGGGUUCCUGGACAUUUACUGACGCUGAGGUACGAAGGCCAGGGUAGCGAAAGGGAUUAGAUACCCCUGUAGUCCUGGCAGUAAACGGUGCAUGCUUGGUGUGCGGGGAAUCGACCCCCUGCGUGCCGGAGUUAACACGUUAAGCAUGCCGCCUGGGGAGUACGGUCGCAAGAUUAAAACUCAAAGAAAUUGACGGGGACCCGCACAAGCGGUGGAGUAUGUGGCUUAAUUCGAUGCAACGCGAAGAACCUUACCAAGGCUUGACAUCCUGGGACCGUCUGUGAAAGCAGAUUUUCUAUUCGUAGACUCAGAGACAGGUGCUGCAUGGCCGUCGUCAGCUCGUGUCGUGAGAUGUUUGGUUAAGUCCAGCAACGAGCGCAACCCCUGCUGCCAGUUACCAUCAUUAAGUUGGGGACUCUGGCGGGACUGCCCAGAUCAACUGGGAGGAAGGUGGGGACGACGUCAGGUCAGUAUGGCCCUUAUGCCUUGGGCUGCACACGUACUACAAUGCCCAGUACAGAGGGAAGCCAACCCGCGAGGGUGAGCGGAUCCCGAAAAGUGGGCCCAGUUCGGAUUGGAGGCUGCAACUCGCCUCCAUGAAGCCGGAAUCGCUAGUAAUGGCGCAUCAGCUACGGCGCCGUGAAUACGUUCCCGGGUCUUGCACUCACCGCCCG
This 879-nucleotide ribosomal RNA is filed under the name uncultured bacterium. RNAcentral's name for it is "bacterial SSU rRNA". It matches the Rfam family "Bacterial small subunit ribosomal RNA", at positions 517 to 1396 of the family's 1533-position model. The record is from RNAcentral.